Molecule: ribosomal RNA, 452 nt
Filed under: Praticolella griseola
Lineage: Eukaryota; Metazoa; Mollusca; Gastropoda; Stylommatophora; Polygyridae
Description: partial 16S ribosomal RNA
Rfam family: Archaeal large subunit ribosomal RNA
Source: RNAcentral
CGCCUGUUUAUCAAAAACAUAACUAUAGGUAGGUAUCCAUAGCGAUUUCUGCUCCAUGUGAAAAUAAAUAGCCGCAGUACCCUGACUGUGCUAAGGUAGCAUAAUCAAUAGGCUUGUAAUUUAAGUCUGGUAUGAAGGAAGAUUUGGGGGUUUCCUGUCUCACCUGAAGUUGAUGGAAUUUUUUUAAAAAGUGCAAAAACUUUUACAUAAACAUUAGACGAGAAGACCCUAGAAAUUUUUUAACUUAUUUUGUUGGGGCGACAAAGUAACAAUUAACUUACUUAUAUUUAUCUGAAGUGGAUAUACAGAAUGUAAAAAUUACUCUAGGGAUAACAGCAUAAUUUCUGCGGAGUUUGUGACCUCGAUGUUGGACUAGGUAUUAUUAAGUUUAGAAGAUUUAAGUUUGAGCUCUGUUCGAGCUGUAAUUACCUACGUGAUCUGAGUUCAGACCG